Molecule: ribosomal RNA, 425 nt
Filed under: uncultured bacterium
Lineage: Bacteria
Description: bacterial SSU rRNA
Rfam family: Bacterial small subunit ribosomal RNA
Source: RNAcentral
GUGGGGAAUCUUGCACAAUGGGGGAAACCCUGAUGCAGCGACGCCGCGUGAGUGAUGAAGCCCUUCGGGGUGUAAAGCUCUUUCGACAGGGACGAUAAUGACGGUACCUGGAGAAGAAGCUGCGGCUAACUACGUGCCAGCAGCCGCGGUAAUACGUAGGCAGCAAACGUUGUUCGGAGUUACUGGGCGUAAAGAGUGCGUAGGCGGUUCGCCAAGUUUGGUGUGAAAUCUCCCGGCUUAACUGGGAGGGUGCGCCGAAAACUGGCGAGCUUGAGUGUGGGAGAGGGAAGCGGAAUUCCUGGUGUAGCGGUGAAAUGCGUAGAUAUCAGGAGGAACACCGGUGGUGUAGACGGCUUCCUGGACCACAACUGACGCUGAGGCACGAAAGCGUGGGUAGCAAACAGGAUUAGAAACCCUAGUAGUCC